This 1346-nucleotide ribosomal RNA is filed under the name Osteomugil engeli (kanda). RNAcentral describes it as "Moolgarda engeli partial 16S ribosomal RNA". It matches the Rfam family "Bacterial large subunit ribosomal RNA", at positions 560 to 2597 of the family's 2925-position model. Lineage: Eukaryota; Metazoa; Chordata; Actinopteri; Mugiliformes; Mugilidae. The record is from RNAcentral.
GCCUAAAAAAGCAGAGAUCAUACCUCGUACCUUUUGCAUCAUGAUUUAGCAAGUACACCCGAGCAGAAAGAAUUUUAGUUCGACCCCCCGAAACCAAGUGAGCUACUCCAAGACAACCUGAAAUAAGGGUUAACCCGUCUCUGUAGCAAAAGAGUGGGAAGAUCUUUGAGUAGAGGUGACAGACCUAUCCGAACUUGGUUAUAGCUGGUUGCUUGAGAAAUGAAUAAAAGUUCCGCCUCUUGUAUUCUUCCCUCCCGCCAAGCCCACUAUUUUGAGCCUUCCAUAAGAUAAAAGAAAACAACAGAGUAAAUCAAAGGAGGUACAGCUCCUUUGAGACAAAAUACAACUUUUCCAGAAGGGUAAAGAUCAUAAUCUUUAAGGUAACUAUGUUUUGGUGGGCCUAAAAGCAGCCAUCCCAUUAGAAAGCGUUAAAGCUCUAACAUAUUUCCUGCCCCCAAUCCCGAUAACAAGUCUAAACCCCCUCCCCCUAUCAAGCCGUCCCAUGAAGUCAUGGAAGAGAUUAUGCUAGAAUGAGUAAUAAGAGAGUAUCGCCUCUCUCCCUGUACACGUGUAAAUCAGAACGGACCCCCCGCCGAAACUUAACGGACCCAAAGCACAGAGGGCACUGAAUAAUUAAUAACUAACAAGAAAAUUAUUCAAACCACCACCGUUAACCCCACACUGGUGUACUCCAAAAGAAAGACCAAGAGAAAAAGAAGGAACUCGGCAAAAACACCUAAAGCCUCGCCUGUUUACCAAAAACAUCGCCUCUUGUCAAUUGCACAUAAGAGGUCCCGCCUGCCCCGUGACCCCCAGUUUAACGGCCGCAGUAUUUUGACCGCGCAAAGGUAGCGUAAUCACUUGUCCCUUAAAUGAGGACCUGUAUGAACGGCAUAACGAGGGCUUUACUGUCUCCUUUUUCCAGUCAAUGAAAUUGAUUUUCCCGUGCAGAAGCGGGAAUCUCCACAUAAGACGAGAAGACCCUAUGGAGCUUUAGACUUUAAAACAGACCAUAUUAGCUACCCCUAUUAAAUAAAGUAUCAACUAUUGAAACCUGUUCCCUGUCUUCGGUUGGGGCGACCACGGGGAAAAGAAAACCCCCCACGUGGACCAGAAGUACCUUUAAAAUUUACUUCCACAACUAAGAGCCACAGCUCUAACGCACAGAAUUUCUGACCUAUAGAUCCGGCAAAGCCGAUCAACGGACCAAGUUACCCUAGGGAUAACAGCGCAAUCCCCUUUAAGAGUCCCUAUCGCCAAGGGGGUUUACGACCUCGAUGUUGGAUCAAGACAUCCUAAUGGUGCAACCGCUAUUAAGGGUUCGUUUGUUCAACGAUUAAAGUCUU